UACCAGACUCCUACGGGAGGCAGCAGUGGGGGAUAUUGCACAAUGGGGGGAACCCUGAUGCAGCGACGCCGCGUGGGUGAAGAAGUAUUUCGGUAUGUAAAGCCCUAUCGGCAGGGAAGAAAUUGGACGGUACCUGACUAAGAAGCCCUGGCUAACUACGUGCCAGCAGCCGCGGGAAUACGUAGGGGGCAAGCGUUAUCCGGAUUCACUGGGUGUAAAGGGGGCGCAGACGGCGAUGCAAGCCAGGAGUGAAAGCCCGGGGCCCAACCCCGGGACUGCUCUUGGAACUGCGUGGCUGGAGUGCAGGAGGGGCAGGCGGAAUUCCUGGUGUAGCGGUGAAAUGCGUAGAUAUCAGGAGGAACACCGGUGGCGAAGGCGGCCUGCUGGACUGCAACUGACGUUGAGGCCCGAAAGCGUGGGGAGCAAACAGGAUUAGAUACCCGAGUA
RNAcentral lists this ribosomal RNA (447 nucleotides) under uncultured bacterium. RNAcentral describes it as "bacterial SSU rRNA". It matches the Rfam family "Bacterial small subunit ribosomal RNA", at positions 329 to 792 of the family's 1533-position model. The record is from RNAcentral.